CUCAAGGGGCCUCUAUGUGGCAGCUCUGAGCUAUUAAGCCUCAGCCACCCUUAGGGGAACUAUGCAAUGGAGCAGGGCAGAAAGUGCCACUAACUUCAGGAAACUCUUGCUUUCUGACGGACCAUUCUGGAAGACUGGGACAUGAGGAGAGUCAGGGUUUACAUGCACAUGCAUAUCCCUGUGCCCAUGAGGAAUGUAUUGCUCCAUUUGAGCAGGUGAAUGCCUGAGUAAUGUUCAAAGUAAUGGUACCCCCAUUAUCCACUCAUAUCUGAAACCAAGAUUACAGAAUUUUUAACAUAAUUCUGCCCAUAU
This 312-nucleotide long non-coding RNA is filed under the name Pogona vitticeps (central bearded dragon). RNAcentral's name for it is "lncRNA (ENSPVIG00000014566.1)". The record is from RNAcentral. Lineage: Eukaryota; Metazoa; Chordata; Lepidosauria; Squamata; Agamidae.